AAAAAUUGUUUGUAAAUUUUCAGGACAUUCCGAGAACUUUUAUUUCUGCACAAAAACAACACCAUGGCAAUUUUCCUGAAAACAGCGUUACUCCGGGUUAGUUUCAUGCAAAUCAUGCAAGUUAGAUUCCAAAACAAGGGCAAAAGAGUUCGGAAAAGUAGAUACGUUGGAGACGUAUCAGCGCGCCGUCACGCUGCCG
Molecule: long non-coding RNA, 199 nt
Filed under: Hordeum vulgare
Lineage: Eukaryota; Viridiplantae; Streptophyta; Magnoliopsida; Poales; Poaceae
Description: long non-coding RNA (HVUL_LNC000686)
Source: RNAcentral